Molecule: long non-coding RNA, 413 nt
Organism: Rana temporaria (common frog)
Lineage: Eukaryota; Metazoa; Chordata; Amphibia; Anura; Ranidae
Exons: 3
Source: RefSeq, a predicted model, not a curated record
GGAAGGACUUUUGGCACAAAUUGGCUGUCUUCUGGAGGAAGAACUAAUGCCCCUGGUUAAAUCUUUGGGGAGUACAGUAGAUGUUCCUGGGCUUAAUUUGCAUAAAAGUUUAGAAGCAAUUAAAACCUCCCUCGCUGGUACUGUUCUGGGAACCGUAAGUGGUUCAGACGGAUUAGUUGGUUCUUUACUGGGAGGCCUAAGAGUAGAAGGAAUUCUAGGUUAAUGUGAUAUAGGUGCUGUCCUUCGUUGGAUUGUGUGGACACACUGAUCUAUUGCUUGAAAUGAAUUACUCUACAUUUUCUUAAUAUCAUCACAAAUUCUGCUUUUACUUACUAAUCAAUUUACCAUAAAUAAAAUGAUUUGCUGAUUUCAUUCAUAUAUGUCUACUUUUUAAUAAAUGAUCUCUUAAGCAU